Molecule: transfer RNA, 87 nt
Filed under: Acidobacteriota bacterium
Lineage: Bacteria; Pseudomonadati; Acidobacteriota
Also listed under: 4 other names
Description: tRNA-Leu
Rfam family: tRNA
About the family: Transfer RNA (tRNA) molecules are approximately 80 nucleotides in length. Their secondary structure includes four short double-helical elements and three loops (D, anti-codon, and T loops). Further hydrogen bonds mediate the characteristic L-shaped molecular structure. tRNAs have two regions of fundamental functional importance: the anti-codon, which is responsible for specific mRNA codon recognition, and the 3' end, to which the tRNAs corresponding amino acid is attached (by aminoacyl-tRNA synthetases). tRNAs cope with the degeneracy of the genetic code in two manners: having more than one tRNA (with a specific anti-codon) for a particular amino acid; and 'wobble' base-pairing, i.e. permitting non-standard base-pairing at the 3rd anti-codon position.
Source: RNAcentral
GCCGGAGUGGCGGAAUUGGCAGACGCGCAUGGUUCAGGUCCAUGUACCCGCAAGGGUGUGGGGGUUCGAGUCCCUUCUUCGGCACCA